CGGACUGCAUUAGAUCUCAUAAGAGAAGAUUAAAAUCAGAAGCUAGAGUGUAUGUUCUUUUCAGAUUUGAGAAGCAAAAAAUGACAUUAAAAGGAUUGAAUUGGUAGGGAUUUUUGUGAACUCUUCGAAACUUUUCCUGAUUUCUUCCUAAUAUAUAUACAAAACACCUCUGAUUUUCAGCCCGUGUACCUAUGUUCCUCCUUACAGUUCGUGCGUGCGUGAUUUCAGGCAGGUUUCUCGCUAGUUAAAGAAGAAGCAGGGGUCAACUCGAAAUUAAGGGGGUUUGGUUGUUGAUGGAGUGCAGAUGCAGAUGGAUUUCUUUCUUUCGCGUUCUUUUUUGGGUGAAGAAGAACGAGGGUUAGAUGAGGGGUCAUUCUUUUUUUUUAGAUCAACUGUCGAUUUUAUUGAUUCAAAA
This 415-nucleotide long non-coding RNA is filed under the name Nicotiana benthamiana. RNAcentral describes it as "long non-coding RNA (NBEN_LNC020610)". Lineage: Eukaryota; Viridiplantae; Streptophyta; Magnoliopsida; Solanales; Solanaceae. The record is from RNAcentral.